AUCUUGAAAACGGAAAAUAAAAACAGCAGACCUAUGAAGGUCGAAGGGGAAGAAAAGCUGUAUCGAUUGUUGAGAUCUGGCGACUUGUUUAAAUUUCAUCAGCCUCACUUCUAUGAACUCUCAGAGCUGAUUACCAACUCCUACCACUGUUAACCCUCAUCCAGGAACAAGCUUAUGUCUUUAACAUUCUGAGUGGGCUUCAGCAUCCUUGCAUAUGUUCAAUUCUUAAAAACCUGUUGAAAUAAAAGAUCAGGAGACAUAGGAAGGAUGCCAGAAGAGAGCGUGGCCUCACGUGUACCAGCUCUCUGCUCUCCUUUGCCUUGGGACGUUCCAUCCCUGGAAGUUUCCCUGCCCACAUCUUUGUAGAGAGUCCAUUCUCCAAGCUUCAGUGUGUCAUCUGUGAGGACCGUGACCCACCUGGUACAUCGCCUCAGGGCAUUCAUUUCAGGCUCCUUCUAAAUGGCCAAGUUUUCAAGAUUGUUUUGGCUCUAGCAAAACAAGUUGGAACAUUCACAUCAUCCAAUCUUGCUUUCUUUUGUAUGUUUGCAAAGAAUAUAUAGUACACUUCCUUGAUCUGUGGUUCCUAAAGUGUGAUUCCCAACAAGCAGCAUCAGGAUCAUCUGGAAACUUGAUAGAAAUGUAAAUUCUACAGUCCCUCCUUGGAGCUACAGAUUCAGAAAUUCUGAAGUUUAAGUCCAGCAGUUGGUUAUAAUAAGCUCUCUAGGUGAUUCUGACUUGCACCAAGGCACCCUUGGAAAUGCAAUGCUACAUCUCAAUGGGAUUUUCCAGUACAAAGAUUCUUUUCAAAUAACAUAAUUGUGGAUACACACCACUCCUACAGUGGUAAACCUCAGGUUCUCCUCCUGCCUUUUGCUAAGUAUAUGUCUUGAUGACAAGCCUUCUGCUGAUGAGCUGUGUUUCUGGACCGAUCAUGGUAGAAGUCAAUUAACGUGUCCCUCACUUGGGGUUUCUCAAGGCUGCACUGAUGAGGAAACUGAAACAGAAAAUCCAGAGUAAAUUCCACCAGGCCACACAGCAAGGUCUGAUAGAGCCAGGAGAGACUUUAUGAAAUCCAGACUCUCACACUAAUGCUCUAUCAGCUAGACCUCCAUGUGAGUCUCCCCAAUGUAGGUAGGAAGUGCUUUCCCUAAAAUGCUCAUAAAGCAAAUCAGAGCAAUGCUGCAUUCCAUGUGAUUUCUAAUUUGAAAUGCAAACAAUUGCCAAUUUGUUUGACUUGUAUUUAUAAUUAUUUCCUUGUGAAUUACUCAUCACUAAAUGCUUUAUAAAUAUUUUCUCUUUUUUUCCUCAAUGUCUAUGGAAUGAUCACAGCAUAGAAAAUGUUGGCUUUCAAGGAUUUAUUAAUAUCUCCUUUUGAAAUAACAUGUAUUUGUAAGACAGAAUAAAAUCACUUUAAAGAAACAAA
Long non-coding RNA from Homo sapiens (human), 1423 nucleotides. Ensembl annotates it as testis expressed 41. Its record names the gene TEX41. The record is from Ensembl. NCBI's taxonomy places the organism in Eukaryota, Metazoa, Chordata, Mammalia, Primates, Hominidae.